GUAAUAUUAAACAGUGCAAAUGUUUUCAUGAAUGGGAGUAAGACUUGUGGUAUACGAUAUCUUAAAUACAAUUUUUGUUCCAGUAGCCAGCCAGUUCCAAGUGUCAGUCCAAAUGGCAGAUUAGAAGCAACUCAAAGGAAGAUGUUUACCUAGAUCUUCAACCAAGUCCGAGGCUUUGCCAUGUCAUCAAUCUAGCAGCAAGGAUAGCAGCUGGAAUGAAGAUUAAUUAUCACAUUGAUCUUCAACCAAGUCUGAGGCUUUGUCAUGAAAGAAAUAAUGCAAGCUAGCAAUGAUUACUGCUUUUCAGUAUGGAUAGAGUUUUAGAAUGAUCAUUGGAGCAGACUUUUGAGGUUAGCAUUACAGCUUGUCCUUACAGAUUGAUGUUGGAAAUGGCUAUUAGAGUUGACUUUUAAAGAUAACAAUACUGUGGCUGAAGGAUAUAAUUGUGUGAUUAAUUCUCCAUACUCCUUAGAGAUGUUGUGAAGGUUGUUAAUAUGUUGACAGCUGGGCAUGCUCUCUUUGCAAGACAUCAGAUUUAAAAUCCCCAUUCUGACACUGAACAUGACUGCUGAUUUGUAUAUCCUGCACUACCAAACAGAUGCCUUACUUUUGCAAGGAUUUUACUGCCAAUCUGAAGAAGACCAAGAGUUACCAUAUGUUCCUUUGGGCUAUUUCUAACUCUACCAAACAGUUUCCAAUAUGAACGGUUCAUUUAAAUCUUGCAUUAAACAAGAGCAAGAAUGCAGUUGAUAAAUUCUAAAAUAACUAAUGUAAAGAUUCUCCAUUUUCAACAAGAGUGGAAGCUUUAGUUAAGGUUAAUGUAUUGUGUUUUUAACGUUCACCUAACUUUCUUUUUCUCCCUAAUCCAUUAAAUGCUAUGGAUUUUUGAAGUCCAUGGUUAAAGUUUCUCAAACAUCAAUAAACAUGUCAAACCUUCUUGGAAUUAUGUGAAAAAUUAAAAGCUUGAGCAUAAUUUUAUUUAAAGAUAGUAUCAAAAGCAAAACUUGGAAUUACAUUUUUUGUAUCUCACUUAUAAAUUGACUAUAGUUUUUCCUGACAGUCUUAAUGUACAAAAUUUAGACAUAAAAUUCUAUAAAGCCUUAACAUUAAGAGAAAAAACCAAAAGUAAUAUUUAAAAAUUUUCAGUAUUUUUCUGAAAGAUGAAGUUAGUUUUGUUUUGCAUUUGUGAUUUACAUUUAGCCUUUGGUUAUCCUCUUUAAGACACCAAUAACAGCUUAAAACCCUCCUUGGAAUGUUAACAUAAUUAUCUUUAUGAUUAAGAAAAAUUGUUUCAUUUUCAUGUCAUCCUUCCAUAUUUUAUUGGUAAAUUUAUUUCAGUUUUUACCACCAACAUUACACAGCAGUUACACAGACAAAUCUUUGGGGUUCUGCGUAAUCCUUUCAAAAGUUUUUUAUUGCUGUUUUUACAAGUUGUGUAGUGUACAUGUGUUUAUUAUUUCUACUUGUAUCAUAUACAUGUUUUUUGAUUGAUGAUUAGACUGUAGAACUAUUGUAAUUUGAGCAGUACCAGAGUAAAUGAACUGUUUUACAAAGCAUAACUUAACAGUUCUUUGGCCUAAGAGAUGAGUUCAGCAAAUGUAGAUUCAGCAAAUUCCCUGAUCAGUAAAUGUAGAUUCUUCAAAUUCCGUGAUAAGCAGCUAUGUACAUAAAAGUUGAAUUAGUUGAAUUCCAUCUUAAAGAGUUCACUUAGUCUGUAAAAUAAUAACUUUUCAAAGAUAAGUGUACCCAUUUCCUUUCAUUUGAAACUUUUUCUUCUUCUGUAGGAUAUUUAGUGGUUCAAAUAUAUGCAAGUUGAGAAUAACAUUACAUGCAAGUUUUCAGAAUUUCUACUGAAAAAUGAAAAUAAAAUUUGCAUCAAAGUAUACUGUCUGCAAAUAAAGUUCACUGCAAGAGUCUCACGUAAACUUUUUUUAUCAUGUCAAUUACGCAUAGAAAUAACCAAAAAGAAAAAAAAAUCUCUUUCCUAUAGCUUCUAUAUACAGUACAACUUACAAUUUUUUAGAAGCACCUCCCUAAAUUUUAUUUAAUGCAUAAAAUAACAAGCCCCCUAUUAAUAUACCGUGAAGGAAUAGGAUAAAGUCAACUUGGUUAUCAGAAUUUGUGAUUAUCUCCCCUAAUCAAAAAACACUUUUGCCAGUUUAGGAAUUUUACUGGAAAUAUUUCUUUGUAAAGGAGGGCUUUCAAUACAAUUCAAAGUAGUAAGCUGAAAUCUGAAAGUAGGCGGCUAUUUGACAUGCGGACAAAAUAACUUGCUGCCUUAAUGUCAGGGGGUAAAUAGAGCAAAAUCUUGCAUUCUCCCAAUCUCCUGGCAUCCAUCUUUCAAAUUACAUUAUUUUUUAUAUGAAAUUAAGGAAGUUUGCUUGCUUUACGAUAUUUGUCAGAUUUUCAGAAUUCUCUAGUUUAUUCAUUUGAAUGUCUUAAAAAAAAAUUGCCCAUUGACCCCCAUUUUUUCGAUUUAUAAAUCUUUUACAUGUAUAAUGAUAAGCCAUCUGAAAGUCUCAUUAAAUUUUGAUUAUUUUUUAAUAGUUUUUGAGAACUUAAACUUGUCAAUGAUAAAGCUAUGAUAAGUCAAGAGAGAUAUUUUUCCCGCAAAAAUUUCAAUGAUCUUUCUCUGAAACAAGCACAUUGACCUUUAAACUAUUUUUGCUCUUUUGAUUCCUUUAUAAAUCACCUAUCAAUAUAAACUAGUGUUUUGAAAGUCCUUGAUGAACAAUUGUUUCUUUGAUCCAAAAAAUUGAAUAUAAGAGGUAUGGAUAUACAAUAAUCAACUAAUGCAAAGGUUGUUUAAUUUAAUAAGAAAGACAACUUUUGGUUUGUACCGCACUGUCAUCAUGAUUAAAACUACAGAAGAGUACAAAAUUCCAAAGUGAUAAUGUGUUCUUCACAAUUUGUCACCAUAAGAAGAAUUACAAAUAGAGAGUGAAAGAAGGUAUGACGGUAAACUGGAUUAAGAAUGUUAAAUAAAAUAUGUUUUUGCAAAUUUGGACGACAAUUAAUUGCAAUUAUGUACCAUUUAAACAAUAAAAGUAGUAUAGACUUGCAAAUCCGUACCAUUACAUCACAUGAAGUAGUAUGGUUGUCUGAGCGAAGCCAAUUGGAAGCACGUACCUCUUAGUGAAGCUAAUUGGGAGCACACCCUCUGUCUUGUUGCGAAGCUGAUUGGAAGCAGUACAUAUAUACCUCUGUCUGCAAAAGCUAGUUAGAAGCAGUACCCCUGGCAGAGAGGUCCCAAUUAGAAGUACGUAACUCUGAGGGAAGCCAAUUGGAAGCAUGUACCUCUGCAAAAUUUGAUUAAAAAUUAUUCAACAAAUUUUAUUUAACAUUCUUUUUAAAGUUUACUUUCAUACCAGCUCUCAUUUUCUAUUUAUAAUUACACUUGUUGACAUUGUGACGUUCAAAUUAUCACUUCACCAUUUAGAAGAUCAUUCUAAUAAAUUGCUACAACACACGCUCAAGUAUUGUUAUAAGGGUAAAAUAUUUUAUUAAUUUUGUUCUAUGCACCUUUAAACGAUAACUUAACUUACUGUAACUUUUUGACAGCUAAGGUUCCUCAAGAUCUAUAGGGAGGCUGAUAUAAGUUUGCUAUCAAUGGCAUAUGAUACAGUAAUAGGGGAGGUAUUGAUGUGGCUAAUUUCAAAUGUUACUUUUAGCCAUGUCAAGUAGUUGCAUAUCAGAAAAAGACCCAUUUUUUUACUGAUUUAACAUAUUAAUUCAUGGACCCCUCUUUUAAAAAAUUACAGUAGGCCUGAAUAUGUUUAAAUUGUCGGGUUGUUGUCUCUUUGACACAUUCCCCAUUUCCAUUCUCUUGAAGAAACCACCAAUGGAAUUGUUCUAAAUAACAUAAAUAUACAGCCAAUAAUGAAUAAUGAUGUUUUUUUUACUAAAAUCAUGUAUUAAGAUCAUUUGUGCCAAUUUGAAGAAAUCACCAGUGAUAUAUUUUAAAUUAGAUAAAUAUGCAUUCAAAAAUUAUGUUUUUUAUACUGAAAUUGUGAAAAUAUAAUAAAAAUGAAUUAUUUUAAAAGAAUAUUGUUCUUAGGUUAAUGAUUUUAUAAGAACAGACUUUGCAAUCAUAGUUUGUUAAAUAAUAUUUGUGGUCUUGAAAAAUCUUGAUAUCCUUGAAAUAGAAUAAUUACUCAUGGCACCAAAUAGAUUUUACUAGAAAUUAUUUUGUUAUGUAGUAGUUUAAGUGAAAAUAGAAACCCUUAAUAUAUCUUUUAACAGUUUUGAAUUAUAAACCUCAUAUAUACUUUAAAAAAAUGUUUUAAAUAAAUGAAGAAUAAAGUUGACAUUUUUUUAGUUUAAAUUCAAAUUGCAGAUUUGACAUGAUAAAUUCAUUAUUUUUAUUUACGUUCCCUAGUAAGCCUAAGAUUAGAAAAUCUUGAAAAAGAAAAAGAAAAAAAAUGUACCAGCAGUAAAAGGAGUUAUAAUUUUAAGAAUGAAUUCAAAGUUUUCCAAUGUAUAUAGCUGCAUACUAAGAUUGGUAUCUGUUUACUUGACAAAAACAGGAUUUUUAUUUUCAGUCUUCGGGUCAUGUAUAAAAAAAUGGAUUUCCAGAAUGUAGGCUUGAACUUCUUUUCUUUACACUAUUGAACCCCAACCAAAAAGAAACACUAGUUUUCUCCGCCAAUUAAAAGUGGUGUGUUUACAAACAAUUCAAAUGUUCGUCUGUCUACAAUUUUUGUAAAUGCAAAAUCUCCCCCCAAAAAGAUAAGUAUAUUAAAGCAAUCUUAACCAUUCACUGUGCUUCCAAGCACUUUGGGUACCAUUCUAGAGUUAUGCCCCUUUCCAUAUGGAAAAAAUUCUGAAUGUUUGUUUCUGUUCUCUAAAUUUAAGUUUGUCUCAACUAAAUUAAAUGAAAUAUAUAUAUUACUACUAAACGCAGUAAAGUUCAAAUUUUGGCAGCUUCACUUUUACAGUUCUUGAGUUAUGUCCCUUUAUAACGUUGUAUGCUAGAGGGGCAUCAUCUGUGGAGGUAUUGACCCCAUUUAUUUUAAAUAUAGUGGAAGCAGAUUAGUUAUUUGGGUAUUUUGUAGCAUGAUUAAUUAUAAUUAAAUUUUGCUUGUGUUUCAUAGACCUAAUGUUGGAAAUAUUUUGAAAACCUUCACUUUCUACAGAGUGUAAAGUUUCUUUUUAUAAUACUCUAACUGAUAUAUUUGCACAUGAUCGUGUAUUUUGUUUUGAAUAGUUCUCCUUUUUAUACUGUCCAAAGUAUAGCUCUUGAGACAGUUCUUCUAAGCAAAUAGUUUCAAAAAAGGUUUCCAACAUUGUUCCACUACAUUGAUUUUAUCUCGUUUUGAACACAGUUAACAAUUAUUUCAUUAAUUAUCAAUACAUGUUUAAUGAUUUUCUUUAUGUGUAUAUUUUUAUGCUUAUAAGUUGUACUCAUGUAUAUUGUAUGUAUAAUAAUUCCCUAAGCAUAAAAGUAUAGCAGGAAUUGCACAUUUGUAAUAUAUGUACAUGAAGGGAUAGGAAUUUAAGCACCAAAAUGUUUGGUUUUAAAAGUGACAUCUUUAUGUAUUUUAGUUCUAGUUUGAACUUUGAACAUUGUAUAUUUAGGGAUGUUUAAAGAACAAAGAUUUGCAUAUUUUUGUAUUACUAAGUGGAAUGGCUAUUAUAUAUACAAACAUAAUCAUAUUUCGACUUUUGUACCAAAUAUUUGAUAGCUGUAGUGCUUAUGACAAGAUUUCUUUUUUACUUUCGUAUUUACAACGAAAUUAUUUUUUCUUUUUCUCAUUUACCUAGAGAGGUCACAGAACAUUUAGUAGUAAACGGAGAAAUUAUUGUAUAUACGGUACUAGCGUACUAUUUUUAUGAGUUCACAUCAGUAGGUAUAAGACAUGUGACUAAUGUUAUAGCAGGAAAUUUUUUCCUGGAGAUUAUCACUUUCUAGCCCGCUGCAGACAGGGCAACAUUCAUGUUCCAUUCAUAUUAUGAAUAUACUUUGAUACAUGCAUUUAUAUAUUUUUCAAAACAAAACAAUAUAUACGUCCGAGUAUGUCUCGUGAGACGACUUGUCGCAAUGGGUCGGAGCAUAUAUGACUGAUUAUGCACCCAGGUCGGACCCAGGUUUCCAGUUUCCCAUUAUUGGGUUUGUUUGGUUGUUCCUGGCUGGCGAGGUCGUUGAUGAUCGAGUUAUUCAGUUUACAUUCAUGUCAACCAUAUUAUAUCUCUUGUUUGUUCUAGCUAAGUUGUACCUAAUAGUAUUUUUCGAGUACAUUUCAAGGUUUUUGUUAUUAGGAGUAAUUGCGUAAUUUCUUUUUUCAUAUGUUUAUAUAUAUUUAUAUUAAGACAUAUGUAUGUAAUUAUUUAAUAAAUUCUGUUGUUUACUAUGCUUGCUGGACUAUCGGCAACACUUUAUAUAUGUAGUAUUCAUUUAUGCCUUAUAAUAGAUAUGAGCGUAUAGGGUAUACAUUUAGUUAUUCAAAUGCAAAAGG
Mytilus trossulus (common blue mussel) is the source of this 6455-nucleotide long non-coding RNA. RefSeq lists it as uncharacterized. The transcript is spliced from 5 exons. The record is from RefSeq and is a predicted model, not a curated record. NCBI's taxonomy places the organism in Eukaryota, Metazoa, Mollusca, Bivalvia, Mytilida, Mytilidae.